Long non-coding RNA from Magallana angulata, 1014 nucleotides. RefSeq lists it as uncharacterized. NCBI's taxonomy places the organism in Eukaryota, Metazoa, Mollusca, Bivalvia, Ostreida, Ostreidae. The record is from RefSeq and is a predicted model, not a curated record. The transcript is spliced from 2 exons.
CUUUAAUACAUUUCAUUUGAAAUAAUGCACACAAAAUUGUUCACACUUAUCAAGAAAAACUUUCGUUUAUGUACCUGGAUUUUGUUCAUUAGUUAGUUUAGUGGCAGACAUUUUUUAAAACGUUAUCGCCUCAUUAUUUACUAUUUGCGAUUAACAACAAAGGCGAAAAAAGUUAAAUGAAUUCUAUCUGAGCUAUGGUUAUAAAAGAACUAAAUGAUCGGUUGCAUGGCUGCAUGGCAAUAAUUGACUUAGGAAGUUUAACUAAACCCUGCCUUCCACCGAAACAAAACAGUUACUGCUUGAGAAACUUUACAAGAGGUGCCAUAACGUGCAAAGAAAAGGGACGAGUCCGAGGAAAUUUGGACGCAACUCGGGAAUUCACAAUCAAUUUAACUGAAAAUUCAUUAUGGCGUUAAUAUAUCGACUGGUUAUAUUUCUAUGCUUGUGCGUGGUUUCAGUGUCACCAGUAUCAACAUCGGCAACAACAACAACGACAACAACGACGACAACAACAACUACAACAACAACUCCAUCCCCGGGCACAACUCGAUCCCCGGGUACAGCUCCACCCAGAAACACCGCUUCAGGUGGGGCAACAGGAGCACCCGGCAGACCAGGCAUUUCAAACUGUGGCCUAGGAUGCAAACUUGGACUACCUCGUCAAUCAUUCAACUUUGGAAACCCCAACUUUCGAGGAAUGGGAUCUGGAGGCUCCACCCUUGGUGCUGGGUUACACGGAACUCUUCAGUGUUUUUCAUUCAGUGUUGUUGCCAUCUUUGUUCACCUUACGUUAUGCUGACAUUUUUAAUAUUGCUUUAAGUUUAAGGUUUUAAUUAUUGCUGAAUCUUUUUUUUCUACAAUUAUUUCAGCAUACUUUGUAAAGGCACAGAAAACCCACCAAAAACAAUGGUUGAUAUAUGAUAUCUAAUAUUGUAAUUUUUUGUAUUUUAAUUUAUUCUGAAAAAUACAGCUUGUGAUCAAUGCAUGUUAUAAGUAAAAUUUAGUUCAGUCAAA